UAUAUAUAGGACCACCCCUGGGACAACGUAAUGGGACUGUCUAAUUUGCAUCUGCACUUGCUAAUCAUUGCAUUCUUUAUCAGCAGUGUUGACAACACGCAUUUACAGCAUGCCUCGUGGAAAACAACUCACAGAGGAAGAAGUUCGAGAAGUCUAGUACCUGCAUGGUGCAGGAUGGUCACAACGGAAAAUUGCUGGAAAAAUUGGGCGGUCCAAGCAUGCAGUUCAACUCGUGAUUAAACGUGGGAUAUCUGGAACAACAAUAAAACGUCCUGGACGAAAACAAAGCCUCUCUGCAAAAGCCAGAAG
This 309-nucleotide long non-coding RNA is filed under the name Androctonus crassicauda. The record is from RNAcentral. Lineage: Eukaryota; Metazoa; Arthropoda; Arachnida; Scorpiones; Buthidae.